GGGAAUGUAGCUCAGUGGUAGAGCACUGGCCUAGGAUAUGUGAGGCCCUGGGUUCAAUCCCCAGUAUUACAA
This 72-nucleotide transfer RNA is filed under the name Ictidomys tridecemlineatus (thirteen-lined ground squirrel). Its description in RNAcentral is "Spermophilus tridecemlineatus (thirteen-lined ground squirrel) tRNA". It matches the Rfam family "tRNA". Rfam says of the family: Transfer RNA (tRNA) molecules are approximately 80 nucleotides in length. Their secondary structure includes four short double-helical elements and three loops (D, anti-codon, and T loops). RNAcentral also lists the same sequence under 1 other name. Lineage: Eukaryota; Metazoa; Chordata; Mammalia; Rodentia; Sciuridae. The record is from Rfam by way of RNAcentral.